UACGAAGGGGGGCUAGCGUUGCUCGGAAUCACUGGGCGUAAAGGGUGCGUAGGCGGGUCUUUAAGUCAGGGGUGAAAUCCUGGAGCUCAACUCCAGAACUGCCUUUGAUACUGAGGAUCUUGAGUUCGGGAGAGGUGAGUGGAACUGCGAGUGUAGAGGUGAAAUUCGUAGAUAUUCGCAAGAACACCAGUGGCGAAGGCGGCUCACUGGGCCCGAUACUGACGCUGAGGCAGA
RNAcentral lists this ribosomal RNA (234 nucleotides) under uncultured bacterium. RNAcentral's name for it is "partial 16S ribosomal RNA". It matches the Rfam family "Bacterial small subunit ribosomal RNA", at positions 524 to 756 of the family's 1533-position model. The record is from RNAcentral.